AGUAAGCAUCCCCAUUGGUUGAACUACAGAUCUUUUAAGUAAGGAAGAAAAAUCGCAAGAUUUUCAUGGAACAGUUUCUGCAAACAAAACAUAGGACUGACCACAGAUGAAAGAUUACUGUUCUCCACAGACGCACUUGUUAGAUGAAACGAAGUUGCAGGAACAAACGGAUCCCCAAAAUUCAGGGGAUUUUUAAGGAAAGUUUAUCCUUUCACAUAACAGCCCAGGGAAGGCAUUCAGUCAGAGGAAGCUGGCUCCACACAGGCUUUCAAGGAUCCAGGCUGGUGACCGUUCUACUGUCGCAACACACAACUUUCAAGGCCGCUGUCAGCAUCGCCCCUCCAGUCAGCGGGAGGGGAGGGCGUGAGGGGCAUGAGGGAAGGUGUGUGGGCCAGAUGUGAAAGUGGUACACAUCGCCCCCCUCAGAGUCCGCAUCACAUGACCACACCCAACUGCAAGAGAAGCCAGAAAAUACGGUCGGGCUCUGGACCCAGGAAGCGGAGGAGACUGGAUUUAGGUCAACUGCGGGUGAUCUCUGCCAUGAUGAAAUUGUAAAUGAAAUUGUAAUUCUCUAAAUAUGCCCCCCACCACCGAAUAUCUGCCAGUGUCCAUAGUCUCUGGUUAAGUUUGCAUUCCUGGACGGACCCUUACAGGACGCGCCCUGUCAUAGUCCACAAUUUAUGAGUAGAUUAUAUUCCAAAGUUCACUCGUGAGUUUACUAGAAUAUAUUUUCUGAUAGAAGUAUAAGAGGCUAACCCACAACUUCUUACGGAUCUUGUGUAGACAAACACUUUAAGAGGCGUUUGGGGCGCAGUGUAGAAGAAUGAAGUUUCCUCCCCUACUCUUGGGGAAAAGGAACAGCUUGAUGGUAUGAAGCACAUUUUUAUUGAACUCUCCUCACCUUGUUACUGUCCAUUCCUCAGGUGCCUGUCACCUUCAGAUGACACCAAAAUCCCACUCAAGCCUGUCCUAGUGCCCAUUUCCCAAUCAUUGCUGUCACCAAUGCUGCUGUUCUUAUCUGGAGGAGAGGAAACUUGAAGGACACCGCUGCUGUCACAAGAAGGAGUUGGCUUGUUCUACAAGGUCCCCAGAAGUAAAUACAAGACCAAAGGUCAGAAGCUUCAGAGAGACAGACUCUGGUCCAAAAUGAAGGUCUUACUGACAGAGCCGUCCCGCGCUGCCUCUGGAGGGAGCGGAUUCCCC
Molecule: long non-coding RNA, 1203 nt
Filed under: Equus caballus (horse)
Lineage: Eukaryota; Metazoa; Chordata; Mammalia; Perissodactyla; Equidae
Description: lncRNA (ENSECAG00000055141.1)
Source: RNAcentral